RNAcentral lists this ribosomal RNA (390 nucleotides) under Triticum aestivum (bread wheat). Its description in RNAcentral is "partial small subunit ribosomal RNA". The record is from RNAcentral. Lineage: Eukaryota; Viridiplantae; Streptophyta; Magnoliopsida; Poales; Poaceae.
AUGCGCGCACGACCUCCCCUCCUCCUCCCGCGCUGUUCGCCGCCCCGCAAACUCCGGCAGACGUUAGCCGCCCUUCGCCGCAGGAGCCGUCAUAGGAGCAGCUCGCAUCUGGAGCCGCCGCCCGCGGGAUCCGCUCGCCACUGCAGCCGCCGCCCGCGGGAGCCGGAGCCGCCCCGCCCCUGGAUCCGCUCGCCGCUGGUCGCCGACGGAGCUGCCCCGCCCCUGGAUCCGCUCGCCGCCGGAGCCGCCCGUCGCUCUCCCACUCAGCUUGGCCUCUCAGCGUGCAUGGAUGUGCAGGGUGUAGUGUUGCCGUUUGAUUCAGAGUGGAGAAUGUAUGGAGCUCCCAAGUCUGACCCCUCUACCAGUAAUCCUUUCCACCGAUUCACUUGA